Molecule: ribosomal RNA, 458 nt
Filed under: uncultured bacterium
Lineage: Bacteria
Description: bacterial SSU rRNA
Rfam family: Bacterial small subunit ribosomal RNA
Source: RNAcentral
ACGCUGGCGGCGUGCCUAACACAUGCAAGUCGAACGGAGCCAGCCCCUUCGGGGGACUGACUUAGUGGCGAACGGGUGAGUAACGCGUGAGAAACCUGCCUUUCAGUGGGGGACAACAGUUGGAAACGACUGCUAAUACCGCAUAAUGUCAUUUGGGGGCAUCCUCGAAUGACCAAAGAUUUAUUGCUGAAAGAUGGUCUCGCGUCUGAUUAGCUAGAUGGCGGGGUAACGGCCCACCAUGGCGACGAUCAGUAGCCGGUCUGAGAGGAUGAACGGCCACAUUGGGACUGAGAUACGGCCCAGACUCCUACGGGAGGCAGCAGUGGGGAAUAUUGGGCAAUGGGGGAAACCCUGAUGCAGCGAUGCCGCGUGGAGGAAGAAGGUUUUCGGAUUGUAAACUCCUGUCUUAAAGGACGAUAAUGACGGUACUUUAGGAGGAAGCUCCGGCUAACUACGUG